GCCCCCCUAGCUCAGUGGUAGAGCGCGUUCUUGGUAAGAACGAGGUCACGGGAUCGAUUCCCGUGGGGGGCUC
RNAcentral lists this transfer RNA (73 nucleotides) under Zhihengliuella alba. RNAcentral describes it as "tRNA-Thr". It matches the Rfam family "tRNA". From Rfam's summary of the family: Transfer RNA (tRNA) molecules are approximately 80 nucleotides in length. Their secondary structure includes four short double-helical elements and three loops (D, anti-codon, and T loops). Further hydrogen bonds mediate the characteristic L-shaped molecular structure. tRNAs have two regions of fundamental functional importance: the anti-codon, which is responsible for specific mRNA codon recognition, and the 3' end, to which the tRNAs corresponding amino acid is attached (by aminoacyl-tRNA synthetases). tRNAs cope with the degeneracy of the genetic code in two manners: having more than one tRNA (with a specific anti-codon) for a particular amino acid; and 'wobble' base-pairing, i.e. permitting non-standard base-pairing at the 3rd anti-codon position. RNAcentral also lists the same sequence under 1 other name. Lineage: Bacteria; Bacillati; Actinomycetota; Actinomycetes; Micrococcales; Micrococcaceae. The record is from RNAcentral.